Molecule: ribosomal RNA, 254 nt
Filed under: uncultured bacterium
Lineage: Bacteria
Description: partial 16S ribosomal RNA
Rfam family: Bacterial small subunit ribosomal RNA
Source: RNAcentral
UACAGAGGGGGCGAGCGUUAUUCGGAAUUAUUGGGCGUAAAGGGCGCGUAGGCGGCCUUUCAAGUGACGGGUGAAAUCCCUCGGCUUAACCGAGGAACUGCCUGUCAGACUGGAAGGCUUGAGACCGGGAGAGGUGAGUGGAAUUCCCAGUGUAGCGGUGAAAUGCGUAGAUAUCCGGAGGAACACUGGUGGCGAAGGCGGCUUCCUGGACCGAUUACUGACGCUGAUGCGCGAAAGCUAGGGGAGCAAACGGG